GGGCAGUAGGGAGCUGCCUAUAGGAGCAGAGCUAUAGCAGGCUGGGUAACCAGAUGCCUAGUCUGGGGGAGAACAUCAUGAUGUCUUCAGCCUGGAAGUUAGGAUUCAGAGUUAGGGCGUCCUAUUGAAGAGGUGGCUACUUAAAGGCACUCAGUGGCUUCUUAGGACAGAAAAUCCUGACCCUGUAGUUGGGUGGAGCCCAACGGGUACUACUUCUGGCCAAUGAGUUGUGAGGGAGAAAUAAAGCAUGAAAGAUCCUGGCUGGCAAAUUGAAUUGCUGACACAAGAUCCUCCAAAGCUCCUUACUUCUGCCACUCCCAUUGGCUGAACCCAACUGGAGGUCUUAGAUGCAAAAGCAGCCUCGAAGACACAGAGCAAUAUUCCAGAGGGUGGGCCUUCAGCCUAAAUCCAGUAUAAGGACGAUCCAGAACAAAGAACCAGCUUGAUUCACAACAGACACCUAAUAUGAGUGAGAAAUUAUCCUAUAAUACUUUCCCUGAUAUUUAGGAGAUAGUCUGGCACUGCAGCAAAAGUUAGUUUUUCCUGAUUCAUACAAAGGUAGGUAUUGAUUCUUGGGACAACGAAUUUACAGAUUAUGACUCUAUAGAUUAUGUAAAUCUCUUUUCAGAUUAUGACUCAAGAGUUAAAAUUGGCUGUUUCCAUUCCCUAGGUGAGUGUGGGGUGGAGAGGCUUAUAUAAUUUUGUGGACAAAGAUAUUUAUAAAAUGGACUACAGCUCUCACAGCUACAGUCAGUAGCUCUUGUAUUUUACUCUGAUAUUUUCAAUGACUAUAUCACCAUGAGAAAUGCAGUUGAUUUGGAUCUGAAAUUUCUUUUAAAGAUGCUCCCCAUUUGAAGAUACAGUACAAUCAAUGUGGGCAUCAGCACUGAAUGAAUAUGACUUGGGCUGUUUGCCUAUUUCUUUUGUAGUAGCUCUAUCCAAGAGAUGUCCUUCCACACAGAGACAAAAUGAAAGGAUGUCUCAAGGUGAAAGCAUCCAUCCUCCUCAGCUAGAGUACAGAUGAAGUACAUUUCUAUCCAGUAUAAGUGCUCUCUGAAAGCUUUACUGUCGCUUCAUCUCUAUUCAUGAGAACUUUAAGAGACAAAUUCUGGAAAGAAAAUGUCUUUCUUUAUGUUGGCUUCCUUAAGGCUCAAAGACUUGUUGGAAUGCAGGACAGAAUAAAUAGCAUUUCAAAUACUACAUCUGUACGUGGGGGCAGGAAAAAGGAUUUUAUUCCCCCAUGAAUUGUCAUAGAAGGAAAUGAAGAUUGCUAAAAACAUAUAUUCUAUGAAACUAUGACAGAAAAGAAAAAACAAUACUUUCAUUUUUCCAGAUUUUAUCAUUGUAAUUCUUCCAUGAAUGCUAUUAUACUGAGAUCCCUGCAGAAAUGACAUAAUUGGCCAAUGUAUUUGAGGUGUGGGUGGCAUAAUUUUAUAGACAUUAUUAUGGUUAGUGCUGUGAAAUAAUUUAGUUGUUGCCUUUCUUUUAUUUUCCUCUUUCAGUGUGUUUUAGCUCAUAACAAACUCUUUGAAACCUGUACAAUCAGGGGAAAUGAAUAUAAUAUGACUGGGAAAUUACAAAUGAAAUUUGCAAGAGAUGGGCAUUGAUUUAUCCAAGCAAAAUUGAUUUAUUCAUCCUUUUAGUGUUUUCUGGGAUAAGAAUUAAAGGUAUUUCCUGAGGUGAUAACUAUUCUUGUUAGACUUCAAAAGAUGCCAUGGAAAUGACUAGUGAGAAAGAUGAACAAGCAAAUGGAUUAGAAUAUACUGUGCAAGAUUAGAACUGUACUAAAGAUAAACCUGCUUACUAUGUUGGAAGUAAGGGAGAGGGAAUGCUAAGAAUGUGUGGUCAAGGCAUCUUGACUUCUGCUAUUACAAAUACACUCCAUCAUGACUGACGAGCAAGAGGAAACAGGUAAUCAAAGGCAGUGGACACUGAGUCUGCAUGCUAUCAUCUGAGGUUGCAUCUGGUCGUUCUGUUCUUGAAUGUUGCACACUGGCUUCCUUGUCCAACGGUGACCUUCAGCUUGUCUAAACUUGACUUUCAGUAUAAUGCUCUGACAUCUUCUGCUGGUGACCAUAAUUGCUGUCAUGACCUCUGUGAGACAUUACAGUUGGUCGUCAAUAGCUGAAUCCCCUUGAUGUCUGAGUUCUUGCAGGAACACAUUUUCUCACCAUUAGUGAAGUAUUGACUGUGAAGCCAACGAAAUUUAAGCUUCAAGGCCUGUAUUAGUUUAUAGUGACAUACGCUUGACUCUCCCUUUGUCAUACAUUGUGCCAAAUGGCAUUACAACACCAAAUAAAUUUGAUAACAGGUUUUCCUACAUUUGACAACAGUCCAAAAAAAUUACAGGAUAUUUUUACAUGAAUGACAAGCCAACCUUAAUUAAAUUAUUCUAAACUAUCAAUAAAAAUAAAUUUUCAGUCAUGCGAGAAGACUAAAUUAUCUUUUUAUUUUCCCUGUAGAAGAUACUAUAAAAUUGUUAUCAAAU
Long non-coding RNA from Equus caballus (horse), 2488 nucleotides. The record is from Ensembl. Lineage: Eukaryota; Metazoa; Chordata; Mammalia; Perissodactyla; Equidae.